RNAcentral lists this long non-coding RNA (1546 nucleotides) under Anolis carolinensis (green anole). RNAcentral describes it as "lncRNA (ENSACAG00000045041.1)". Lineage: Eukaryota; Metazoa; Chordata; Lepidosauria; Squamata; Anolidae. The record is from RNAcentral.
AUGGCAUAUAGUAUAGGACUUUGUAAUGAGAUGGUUCUGAAUCACUUAUUACCGUCUUAUCACAUGGGAUGUUGUGGGGAAAGUGUCUGGCAAUGCUUUUGCCACAGAUGUCGUCUGAUGGCUGCCGUGGGACUCCGUCCCCAAAGAAGCUCUAAGGAUCCUAGGACACCUAUUUUGAGCAAUGUGACGAGGUCCUUAUUUUCUUCUAGAUGCUGUAAUUAACACAGUCGGAAAUUUGUCUUGAGGAUGCCAAAUUCUCAAGAUGUAGAUCUGUGUUGCGUGGAGGCUUGUUGUGACUGUUUGGGCAAGACAAAAACUAAUAGUCCAUACCAUCUUUGGUUCACAGUAUUUUAUGGUUCUAUCCUGACGCUUAAAAUAUUUUUGAAGGUGUGUAUAUGAUUCUUGCUGAAUUCUGUCUCAACACUGCAGCAGAGAUUAUCCUGAAAAAUAAUUAGUAAGAUAAGGCAUAUUAAAAAAAAGGCAGGAGGAGGAAAGAGAAUAGGGUGUUGGCUCUCCAGAUGUUUCAGAUUCUAUUCCCAGAAGCCUUGGCUAACAUGGCCAAUAGCAAGUGAUCACGGAGACUGUUGCCCAAAACAUUUGGAGGCCCCAAAUUCCCCAUCACCGCUGGGGAAGAGGAGGAGGAAUACAGUGAUUCAACUGAUGUGUGCAAGUACAUGAUGACAGGUCUCUGUUCUGAAGGAUUUAUCAUCUAAAAUCUGGCAAGAGGAAUCAUAGAAAGAGGAAACAGCAGAGGAAAUGAAGAGAAAUGAACAUUGGGGAUUAAAGUAUUGUUAAAUAAACAUAAGAGAUGGGUGAAGAGAUUUAGUUUUUUUCAAAUGCUGAAUGACGGUGGUAAAAAGAACAGUUUCAGCAUGUCAAGUGAGGAUAAAGAACAAAACAAUCAUCCUGAUUUGGACUGGACUUCAGAAAGGGAAAUAUAGGUCAAAUAGUUGGAGAAUUUUCUUAAAAAAUAUGAACAGAUCAGCCACAGAAUAACCUGCCUAGAUUUACACAUUUUAAAGGUGCUAAAUGGACUCAUGGACACUUUCCCAUGCUGGAUGGAAGAUUGAUCAUUUUAGUCCAAAAAAGAAACUUUCACAAGCAUUACCAUACAUUGUAAAAGUUACUUUUCUGACUAAAAUUCUCAGAAUCUCCUAGCCAGCAUGGCUAGUGAUUAAAAUCAAUUGACAUUCUAACUAUAUAUUACAGUAGAUGCAAUCUAGACAUAUUACUGCGAAGAAGUGUAGGUAUCUGUGACUAUUCUGUGGAUUUGGUGUGCAAUUCAACAGAUGAGUACUUCAAGGUAAUACGUUACUUCAGUAGAGUCUACCGUAGCUUCAGCCAGCGUGGUUAACAGCAGCAUUAGUUAUUACUAUGCGUGUUGGAACUCAAUGACACUCAGUUUUUUAGACUCUGAACGCGCCGAUCUGCAUAUUUAUAAGUGUAUUUUUAUGAAUGUCUAAUGUAAUUUAAUUUUAAUUGAAUUGCAAUAUAUUGUAUUAUUUUUAUAUAUGUGCUUUUAUUGUAAGCUGCCCUGAGUCCCCUC